GGAAGGUGCAAGCGUUAAUCGGAAUUACUGGGCGUAAAGCGCGCGUAGGCGGUUAGAUAAGUCGGGUGUGAAAGCCCCGGGCUCAACCUGGGAACUGCAUUCGAUACUGUUUGACUAGAGUGUGAUAGAGGGAGGCGGAAUUCCGCAUGUAGCGGUGAAAUGCGUAGAGAUGCGGAGGAACACCAAUGGCGAAGGCAGCCUCCUGGAUUAACACUGACGCUGAGGUGCGAAAGCGUGGGGGGAGCAAACAGGAUUAGAUACCCUGGUAGUCCACGCUGUAAACGAUGUCAACUAGCCGUUGGGAGCAAUUUGGCUCUUGGUGGCGCAGCUAACGCGAUAAGUUGACCGCCUGGGGAGUACGGUCGCAAGAUUA
Molecule: ribosomal RNA, 373 nt
Filed under: uncultured organism
Description: partial 16S ribosomal RNA
Rfam family: Bacterial small subunit ribosomal RNA
Source: RNAcentral